GAAAACACUUUUAGACAUUGCCAGGAGACACAGAUAAGAGCUAAACAAGCCGAGAACAUUUCAAAGACGUGCUGGAACAAGCUCUGGAGGACGCAUGUUUUGCUGAAGCCUAAUAUUUGGAUGUACAUUCAAAGUGGAUGUAAGACUUGACCAAGGAAGACAUUCAUCUUCAUCUGUCUCCACUGACCAAUCAGUUAUCCCCAGUAAUAUGUGUCCAGAUUAGCUUUGGCACUUCAGCAGAUUUCUGUGCCUGUUCCGAGCUGGAA
Carassius auratus (goldfish) is the source of this 266-nucleotide long non-coding RNA. RefSeq lists it as uncharacterized. The transcript has 3 exons. The record is from RefSeq and is a predicted model, not a curated record. NCBI's taxonomy places the organism in Eukaryota, Metazoa, Chordata, Actinopteri, Cypriniformes, Cyprinidae.